This 876-nucleotide long non-coding RNA is filed under the name Salmo salar (Atlantic salmon). Its description in RNAcentral is "lncRNA (ENSSSAG00000089125.1)". The record is from RNAcentral. Lineage: Eukaryota; Metazoa; Chordata; Actinopteri; Salmoniformes; Salmonidae.
AGGGGUUCCUUGAAGACCCUUUUCAGAGAGGUUCCAGGUUUAACUGGAAAGGUUCGGCCUGUGUAGCAACACAAAAGCUGGUGGAGUGCCCAACUAGACCAAAAUGGACCAAGACAACCAUCAGGAAGAUGGAGAACACUUUUAAGAAGCUGGACACCAACAGGACUUACAAGGCCAUCGGAGAGUUCAAGACCGUCCUCCUGUGGAUCAGUGACAUGAGAGAGAGAAAGGAAAGGUCAAUGGAUAAAUGCCAGUAGUCAUCCAUCCAUCCAUCCAUCCAUCCAUCCAUCCAUCCAUCCAUCCAUCCACACUGUCAAACUGGAGAAGUGGACUGUCACUGACACACACAGAGGAGACCUUCCAGUCACUCCUGAAGAAUGAAUGCCUCUGAUAUCAUAUCAACCACAGCUUCCAUCCACCCCUGGCCUGGACAGUCUUCUAUCUAAUCUACACGAUCACCUGGAGCAAUGGACUGUACACACACACACACACACACACACACACACACACCACUCCACCCAUUCACCACUGGCCUGUGUACCAGCCACUCCAGCCUCCAAGUAAUCUGAUGCACCAGACUCUACCUCCCACGGCACAAAAGCCUGGGGACUAGGUUUGCAUCCAACGGACUCCAACUGACAUCAUUGGCCUAAAUAAUCAGCACAUUUCCAUUUUCCAGGAGCUCAACUUGUAAGUGAAUGUUUUUGGAGCACUGUCCCAUGACUCCACCAUAACAGUGAGUCAUCACAGGAUGCUGCUCAGUGUCCAGUUGUACAACACUGUAGAGUACAACAAACGGUCCUUCUAUUUUCUAUGGUGGUUCCAUCAUUGGUUUAAAGGUGGCUGUGACGGUCUCCUGGCUCUCUGACCACCUGA